AAAUUUGUGUAUCCGCCAUUUAUAUAUUACAAUUGGAGUGAUACAAAGAUUAUUAACGUAGCCCGUGCAUGAGGUUAACACACAAAUUCAAGAAGCGUUGCAUAUUUAC
This is a small nuclear RNA of Bufo bufo (common toad), 109 nucleotides long. The record is from RefSeq and is a predicted model, not a curated record. Lineage: Eukaryota; Metazoa; Chordata; Amphibia; Anura; Bufonidae.